GGAGAGGUGCCGGAGCGGCUGAUCGGGUUGGUCUCGAAAACCAAAGUGGGGGCAACUCCACCGGGGGUUCGAAUCCCCCCCUCUCCGCCA
RNAcentral lists this transfer RNA (90 nucleotides) under Planctomycetota bacterium. Its description in RNAcentral is "tRNA-Ser". It matches the Rfam family "tRNA". From Rfam's summary of the family: Transfer RNA (tRNA) molecules are approximately 80 nucleotides in length. Their secondary structure includes four short double-helical elements and three loops (D, anti-codon, and T loops). The record is from RNAcentral. Lineage: Bacteria; Pseudomonadati; Planctomycetota.